Molecule: ribosomal RNA, 543 nt
Filed under: Betta bellica (slender betta)
Lineage: Eukaryota; Metazoa; Chordata; Actinopteri; Anabantiformes; Osphronemidae
Description: partial 16S ribosomal RNA
Rfam family: Bacterial large subunit ribosomal RNA
Source: RNAcentral
CGCCUGCCCUGUGACAAAUGUUCAACGGCCGCGGUAUUUUGACCGUGCAAAGGUAGCGCAAUCACUUGUCUUUUAAAUGAAGACCCGUAUGAAUGGCAUCACGAGGGUUUAGCUGUCUCCUUUUUCCAGUCAAUGAAAUUGAUCUUUCCGUGCAGAAGCGGAAAUACAAACAUAAGACGAGAAGACCCUAUGGAGCUUUAGACAAAAGGUAGGCCUUGUUAAACACUUCAAAAUAAAGAAAUAAACUAAAAGAAUAUCUACCACAAUGUCUUUGGUUGGGGCGACCACGGGGAAAUAAACAACCCCCAUGUGGACUGAGAAAACAAUUCUCACAACAAAGAGCCACAGCUCUAAUUAACAGAACUUCUGACCUUACAGAUCCGGUUUAGUACCGAUCAACGGACCGAGUUACCCUAGGGAUAACAGCGCAAUCCUCUUCUAGAGUUCAUAUCGACAAGGGGGUUUACGACCUCGAUGUUGGAUCAGGACAUCCUAAUGGUGCAGCAGCUAUUAAGGGUUCGUUUGUUCAACGAUUAAAGUCCU